CGCCCAUUAAACGCAUUCUGAG
Molecule: non-coding RNA, 22 nt
Filed under: Arabidopsis thaliana (thale cress)
Lineage: Eukaryota; Viridiplantae; Streptophyta; Magnoliopsida; Brassicales; Brassicaceae
Source: RNAcentral